This 76-nucleotide transfer RNA is filed under the name Clostridiales bacterium. RNAcentral's name for it is "tRNA-Arg". It matches the Rfam family "tRNA". Rfam says of the family: Transfer RNA (tRNA) molecules are approximately 80 nucleotides in length. Their secondary structure includes four short double-helical elements and three loops (D, anti-codon, and T loops). Further hydrogen bonds mediate the characteristic L-shaped molecular structure. tRNAs have two regions of fundamental functional importance: the anti-codon, which is responsible for specific mRNA codon recognition, and the 3' end, to which the tRNAs corresponding amino acid is attached (by aminoacyl-tRNA synthetases). tRNAs cope with the degeneracy of the genetic code in two manners: having more than one tRNA (with a specific anti-codon) for a particular amino acid; and 'wobble' base-pairing, i.e. permitting non-standard base-pairing at the 3rd anti-codon position. RNAcentral also lists the same sequence under 1 other name. Lineage: Bacteria; Bacillati; Bacillota; Clostridia; Eubacteriales. The record is from RNAcentral.
GCGCCCGUAGCUCAGUGGAUAGAGUGUCAGACUCCGACUCUGAAGGUCGCUGGUUCAAGUCCAGUCGGGCGUACCA